This is a non-coding RNA of Mycena belliarum, 97 nucleotides long. The record is from the annotation of a GenBank genome assembly. NCBI's taxonomy places the organism in Eukaryota, Fungi, Basidiomycota, Agaricomycetes, Agaricales, Mycenaceae.
GCGCCCGGGGUGUAGGGGUAACACGCAGCCACUAGUUGCUCUCGAGUCCCCGUGGAGGUUGCAGGUUGAAUCCGGGGUUCGACUCCCCGCGGGCGCG